CAAAGACAAAAAUUAAAUCAGUAAGGAAUACAGCAUGUAAAUAAUUUCAAGUGGUAAUAGGGGAAGUAAUUUCACAUAAAUCUGCUUUGAAAUUACUAAUCUGGAAUUCCUAACAUGUUAAAACUGGUAUCAUUAGUGGAGUCUAGCGUGGUAACCACCUAACACACAAAACAAGAGUUUCAGCAUGAAAGCAGAGGCUGCUUUCGGCACUAAAGUCACAAGAGCUUUUGUACAUUACUCUUCCUUAAGAAUCUGGAUUUUCAAGUGUGAAUGAAUUAACAGAACACAGACCUAUGUAAGGUAAACUACACCUCCUGUACUCUAAACGUGUCUUUCAAAAGGAUGUAAAAUGAACCCCCUGCAAUUCGAACCUACCAGCAGCCAGCUCUGCUCAUCAGAAGCCUUCAACCUUCCAUAACAUAACAGUGAUCUAAACAUCCAACAGCCCUCUGAUGACUGUAUCUCUGUUUAUGUCCGUGAAGAAACCUCCUGCUAAUUCAGCUGUCAAAUAUUUUUUUUUCUCUUUGAUUUCUGCUUAGGCUGUAAAUACAAGCUGGCAAAUCCGAAGAGGAGGAGAGUUUGCAGGCUUUCAGCAUCAUGCACUGGGUUUUAAAAUUAACUUGGGGGAAAGGAGACUGUCCACAUGUUCCCCUCCCUCCCUUCAUCACGUCUGAGCUCCAGGGAAACCAGAGGACUGGGAGAGGUGGCAGAUCCGCAAAGUUCCCCACAGACCUGUUGCUAAGUCACAGCCUCGCACAGUUCUGGGGGAAAGACGGCCAUUCACUUCUGCAGUCAAGAAAUAAACAACGAGCCUCCCGCAGACGCCUCACAGCAGCAUCUCCUUCCACCAACACCAGCAAAGCGCCUCUGCUACCAAGGCAGCUCCAGAUGCAUCCUUCUGCCCCUGAAGAUACACAGGAACCCAAGGACUCCAGACGGGACGAGUUACAGGAGCUGAGGCUCCCUUAGUGCCUCUCCUGCCGGCACAGCCGUGCCUGCCCGCCCACAGCAGGAGGACACCGCAUCCCCCUGCAGGCAGACGCAGCGCAGGCUGACAGCUCUACCACAACCAAGACCCCCUCUCUUUUUUCAG
This 1093-nucleotide long non-coding RNA is filed under the name Chrysolophus pictus (golden pheasant). RNAcentral's name for it is "lncRNA (ENSCPIG00010007425.1)". Lineage: Eukaryota; Metazoa; Chordata; Aves; Galliformes; Phasianidae. The record is from RNAcentral.